Long non-coding RNA from Bos taurus (domestic cattle), 1797 nucleotides. Lineage: Eukaryota; Metazoa; Chordata; Mammalia; Artiodactyla; Bovidae. The record is from Ensembl.
GUGGGAGCCCCAACCUGCGGGCAGUGCCUGGGUCUAGAAGCAGGGUGUCGCCAGCCCCCAGAGCCUGGUGACUCUUGAGUUUUCAGCCCGUCCUCCUGCAUCAGGAGGACAAGCUGCCUCAUUUCAGAGGCCUCCCAACUUUUUCCUUGUUGAAUCCCGUCCUCCUUGUUCAAUCCCUUCAAUGGUGGGCCUUCCCCAAAGUGAGGAUAGCUAGAUGUUAGUUGCAUCUCCCAAAGCUGAGUCUCCCGUGCAGUCCUCCCCUGGCUCAUCCUCUGUCCUCGAAGCGCCUCUUUUUGCCCCCUUUGCCAUCAUUUAGCGGGGAUUGGGGACCCAGUGUUCACUCCACUGUGUGGAUCAACUGCAAGGGCAUUAUUGAUUCAUUUUUGUAAAGUCCCAAAACCCAGCACAACACUGGUACGUGGCAGGUGCCGCCUGGAUAAACGAAUGAGUGAAAGGCAAAAGGACAGGGUCCUCUGCCCUCAAAAACCUCACAGCACAGCUGGGCGGAGGAUGCAGGUUGGAGGGAGGAGGAAGUCGAUAGAUCCGUGCCUUAGCGCUCAGAGUGGGGCUGAUUGUGCAAGCGGCCGUGCAGCCCACAGGCCAUGGAAAUUCGGGGCGGCCGCCGCGAGUACGUCACCCGCCCCAGGGGGGAGGACAGAGGCGCCGUGACAAGAGGCUGGAGGGAGUGGCCACCCAAGGCCAUCCGGGCAGCCAAGCUCCAGGCACAGGCAAGGCAGCCAGGAGGUCCAACUCAAGGCUGACGAUCCGGCCCUGCCCCACGCGGGGCCCCACCGCAGCCUGGGUGCACGGAGAAGAUGGGGUGCCCCCCACAUGAGAGAUGCAAAAACUGAGGCUUGGUGAGGUUGAGAUGCUCGUCCCAGGUCACAUCACCAGGAAAUGGCAGAGCUGAGACUGGAACCCAGCCUUGCUUUGUCUCUCCUCCGCUGUAAAAUGAAAAGAUGAUAGCUGGUGGCCUCUGAGGGCCCCUCCAGCUCGGAUGUUCUGAGAUUUCACUUCUGUCCGGAAAGCGUUGCUCUGACCAGCAGAACCAACGAAGCUGUGAAAAUUAAAGGCACAAACGGUGGGGUCACCCUCUGGGGGGCUGCUCUGGGGCAGCCCCUCCCCGCGCCACUCCUCUCAUGCCCAGACAGCCGGCCGCAGCCUGUGCCCUCCAGGAGGGCCGCCCUCCACUCUAGGAACAGCGGCAGAAUCUCUGGGGCUCAGGGCACGGCAGGCGCCUUCCUCUGGUGGCCUUUGAUGUCGGCCUCCAGGGAGACCUCAUGCAAGUUAAGGCCAGAGGAGUCAGACCCCAGAGUCCUGACAUGUAACUGGAAUCUCGAUCCUCGUCACACACUGGCUCUUUCUUGGAUUAACAGCCCAUGAGCAUCCACCCUCCUGAGUGCUGUCUGGGGAAGCAGUCCUCGCUGAGCCCUCGCCAAACGCUAGCUGGGGACGUAACCAGCCCCGUGCCGCAUGCCCUGCCUGUGUCCCCGCAUAGGGACCCAGCCACACCUCCCUCCUGCCUCCUCCCCAGCCCAGACCCGGCCCCAGACUGGCCUGGGGGAGUGGGGGCUCACUCGGGCAUCUGGCCUCUCCUUGAUGUAGGGGUAUCCUUGCCUUAGUGGGUGUGACCGUGGGGCUGAUUGAUGAAUAAGCUAGUGGCUGAGAGCGGGCCCUGUGUGCAAACCCCAGCUGUACCACUCACGCGGCCUCUCUGGGCCGCUGUUUCUCAGCUGUGACCGAGGGUAUAAUGGCCCCAACCCCGCCCUGGAUGUGAGGGUGAGAUGAGGAAAUGUG